This 670-nucleotide ribosomal RNA is filed under the name uncultured bacterium. RNAcentral describes it as "bacterial SSU rRNA". It matches the Rfam family "Bacterial small subunit ribosomal RNA", at positions 139 to 808 of the family's 1533-position model. The record is from RNAcentral.
GGGGAUAGCCUUUCGAAAGAAAGAUUAAUACCCGAUGUCAUAGUCCUACCGCAUGAUGGGAUUAUUAAAGAAUUUCGGUAUGGGAUGGGGAUGCGUUCCAUUAGUUAGUUGGCGGGGUAACGGCCCACCAAGACGACGAUGGAUAGGGGUUCUGAGAGGAAGGUCCCCCACAUUGGAACUGGGACACGGUCCAAACUCCUACGGGAGGCAGCAGUGAGGAAUAUUGGUCAAUGGACGAGAGUCUGAACCAGCCAAGUAGCGUGAAGGAUGACUGCCCUAUGGGUUGUAAACUUCUUUUAUAUGGGAAUAAAAUGUUCCACGUGUGGGAUUUUGUAUGUACCAUAUGAAUAAGGAUCGGCUAACUCCGUGCCAGCAGCCGCGGUAAUACGGAGGAUCCGAGCGUUAUCCGGAUUUAUUGGGUUUAAAGGGAGCGUAGGUGGAUUGUUAAGUCAGUUGUAAAAGUUUGCGGCUCAACCGUAAAAUUGCAGUUGAAACUGGCAGUCUUGAGUACAGUAGAGGUGGGCGGAAUUCGUGGUGUAGCGGUGAAAUGCUUAGAUAUCACGAAGAACUCCGAUUGCGAAGGCAGCUCACUGGACUGCAACUGACACUGAGGCUCGAAAGUGUGGGUAUCAAACAGGAUUAGAUACCCUGGUAGUCCACACAGUAAACG